ACCAUCUUGUACAAAUUCGCCUUGGUACUAAUUGUCAAUGGUUGUGUUUAUUUGGGUUAUCCAGCUCAGUAUCAUGGAUAACUAGAUAUGAAACUGUCUCAUUUUUUCUGAGAGCGCGCCCAAGAACUCGUUUUCGCACUUGGCAGCACAGCCAAUCCCUGGGCAGAUAAACAGCUGACACGCGAAAUAGUGCGCUGCCAGAAAUAAGUCGUCAAAAAUAAUUGACGAAAACAGCUCGUUUUUGCGUUGAUAGAAAAGUGUCGCGAUUUUCGUAUUUUGCGGAAAUGUGUGUUAUAAGAGGAAAAAGUAAAAAAGAAGAAGGUAAAUAUUAAAGUUAGUGCAAGGGUGAUAUUUUAAGCCAAUGAAUUAUGUUGCAAUGAUGUUUUUUCAGCAAGAAAAUGACAAAAGCAAAAAACAAGUGUGUUGGAGGAUGCGUCGGGUAACAUCGAGUACUGGGGAACCGAGCACCCAAAACUAACUUCGGUAACGCGCCAUUUACAUACCUCAAUGGUGGUGUGGAAACUGCGAAAUAUCCAAGUUUAGUAUAAAAAUACCCAAUUUAGGUUUCCACCGGUGUGGCAUCACUAGGUAUAGUUAUAAAAAAUACACACUUUGACAGUGCUCUCACGACAAAAACAGUUUCAUAUCUAGUUAUCCAUGUCAGUACCACCCAGUAUAAGUAUCACAAUCAUUUUUCACGCAAACGGUGUGGAUCAUUCUUGUUGGAGUGGCAGCACUAAUUUUAAACUACUAGCACGAGGAAGACGAAAAUAUAAAAAUGAACUCACUAAAUGGGGAAAAAUGCAUUUAAACGAAAUAAUAUGCACUUCAAGAAAUAUUUAGCGUAAAGGAAAUUUAUUGGAGCAAUGGCAGAAUAUAUUUUUGUGUAUAAAUUCAUUUGUCAGUGCUACCAAACCGUACUGCCAUAUUAUCAGUGACACAAACCAAAAAGAGCGGAUCAUAAAUUGAACCAGAUCUCUAUCAGGAUCUUAUCGUUGUUGUUGCAUUUGCAUGCCAAUUUUUAUCCGGAUCCCGAUCAUUGCCCACGGAAACACAGCAAAUUUUGCCAAACAAAAUUUCUGCAUAACACCGACCUAACCCAUCAAAAGCAUACAUAUCCAUAUUUAUACAUAUAUAUAGAAAUAUGUAUUCAGAUCUCUGCGCAUUAGUAUAUAUUUUGCUAUCAUUUCAAGAGAGUUGUGCAACGUUUUCGCUUCCUUGUAGUUUUAACUUGGAGAGUGGCUAAAUAAAAGCUUGUAAAAGUCGCGUUUUAUAUACUUUAGUGACUAGUAAAUAA
This is a long non-coding RNA of Rhagoletis zephyria (snowberry fruit fly), 1297 nucleotides long. RefSeq lists it as uncharacterized. Lineage: Eukaryota; Metazoa; Arthropoda; Insecta; Diptera; Tephritidae. The record is from RefSeq and is a predicted model, not a curated record.